GCUUAGAUAAAGUGCUAUUGCAUUGUCUUUUUUAUCAUUUAUGUGUUGAUUAUGCAAAUCUAUUGUAUUUACUGGUCCGCUAAAGCAGAGCAAAACACUGAGAUAGAUUUGAUCAAAUCAAACUGCACAAAUGGACCUUAGAUUAUCUGGCACAGUACUCUAAAAUCCUGGACUCUUUGUUUAUGUGACAUCAUUAUUGGGCAUUCAGAAUGGCUGUACUUGAGGAAAACACGAGGAGCGUCUCUGUUCCACAGCAGGACAAUAUCUUAAACAAAGUUCCAGGAUAUUACUAUCUGGCAAUUCCACCUUCUGAAUAGUUCCAUUUGUGUAUUCUGUUUGCUGUCCGUUUUUUACUUCAACAGAGAAGUUUUAUUCAUCUUCCGCAGAUCAGCUGGGACACGGACUUCCAUUUGAAAGGAUCCCAUUGUUGUCUUAUUUCAGACUGACUGCUACUGCUAUUUACCGAUACAUUGUAAUCUAGUUAGGGUGUACUUAAAAUAGAAACUAUAUAUAGUAAAUAAAUGUUUGUAUUUUAUUCAUAUAUCUUUCUUUGGUUUAUCCCAUGUAAGCCUUGAUGGGGUGCAGUGGUUAUCAAUAAAUUUCAGUUUUUGAAGCUUA
This is a long non-coding RNA of Bombina bombina (fire-bellied toad), 618 nucleotides long. RefSeq lists it as uncharacterized. The record is from RefSeq and is a predicted model, not a curated record. The transcript is spliced from 2 exons. Lineage: Eukaryota; Metazoa; Chordata; Amphibia; Anura; Bombinatoridae.